GACGAACGCUGGCGGCGUGCCUAAUACAUGCAAGUCGAACGCAUUUUCUUUCACCGUAGCUUGCUACACCGAAAGAAAAUGAGUGGCGAACGGGUGAGUAACACGUGGGUAACCUGCCCAUCAGCGGGGGAUAACACUUGGAAACAGGUGCUAAUACCGCAUAAUUCCAUUUACCGCAUGGCAGAUGGCUGAAAGCCGCUUUUGCGUCCCUUAUGGAUGGACCCGCGGUGCAUUAGCUAGUUGGUGGGGUAACGGCCUACCAAGGCUGCGAUGCAUAGCCGGCCUGAGAGGGUGGUCGGCCACACUGGGACUGAGACACGGCCCAGACUCCUACGGGAGGCAGCAGGAGGGAAACUUCGGCAAUGGACACAAGUCUGACCGAGCAACGCCGCGUGAGUGAAGAAGGUUUUCGGAUCGUAAAACUCUGUUGUUAGAGAAGAACAAGGAUGAGAGUGGAAAGUUCAUCCCUUGACGGUAUCUAACCAGAAAGCCACGGCUAACUACGUG
Molecule: ribosomal RNA, 507 nt
Filed under: uncultured bacterium
Lineage: Bacteria
Description: partial 16S ribosomal RNA
Rfam family: Bacterial small subunit ribosomal RNA
Source: RNAcentral